This is a long non-coding RNA of Pogona vitticeps (central bearded dragon), 2478 nucleotides long. Lineage: Eukaryota; Metazoa; Chordata; Lepidosauria; Squamata; Agamidae. The record is from Ensembl.
GGCAAGGCAACCUUUCCUCCCGGAAAGGGAGUCUUCCUCGUCGGGUCCCCAACCCUCUGCCUCUCUCCUGCUCAGCUCCAUCCUCACCCCAUGUCUUCAAGCCCCUUCUCUCUGGGCCCAUCUGCGUCUUUGCCCCAUCUCACCUGCCCCCUUUUCUCCUGCUCCCUUUUCUCCUGCCCCUAUAAAGGAAGCUGGAUUCAAAGGGCCCAUGGCCCGAUUGAGUAGGGCUCUUAUGUUCUUCUGAUUUGACCUCCAAUGAUUUAUAAACCCCUCCUCCUUUCCAAGGGGGAUGGCCAUAGAAUGCCAUGUGUUCUCCAAUAUCUUCUGCUGGACAAGGCAGGAUUAGAUGACAGUUAGAUGACAUCGAAAAAGCUGACCUUUUACAACAAGAUCAUGCCGGAGCAGAUCACUGUGUCAGAGUUUAUUACUGAGACCACAGAGGAUUGCAACUGUCCCAAAACAUCCAGCUUUACUAACAGAACUGAAGGAAUACAGUCCCUCUUCUAGAAGAGGCACUAGAUCAGGACAGAACUGCACUAUAAAAAGUACAAAAAUCAGUAAAAGCAAUACAUAAACCAGGUCCCUCCUCCUUUGCUCCUGGACAGCACCAUCUGAAAGGUGCUUGGCGAAGACAAGAAAACCCCCCUCCUUCUCUCCUGCCCUCCCGAAUCCUCUCCCCAUGUCUCCUGCCCCCUUUACUCCUGCCCCUAACAAGUCCUCCUCGGGUGUCUUCCACCCUAAUCCGUCCUGGCCCCAACCCUCCUGCCUCCCUCUCCAGAAAGCGGAAGCACGAAGAAGACAGCACCACUUCUGCCGCCCCCCCAGAAGACCCAGCCAAGGGACACCACAUCUGGGAAGAGAAAAGCCAAAGUGAAGUGGUUGGCUCCAUCAUCCUUCUCCUUUAACUGCUCAAAAUGGGCACCCUCGGCUCCUACAGCAGCUGUUCCAGCCUCCGGGGAGGAGCCGAUGGACUGCACGCUGGACAAAAUCAGACUCAUCUAGAUGCAGGUCAGGAAGCAGCCCCAAGAAGAAGACGAGUCAAGAGAGCCGGCGAUGUCAAGAUCACUUCCUUUUCUGGGGCCCCCAUUCCCCCUCUUUCUUUUCCUUCUCUAUAUAUAUCAAUGGAGCUGUGCCAGUCUCCGGGGAGGAGCCGAUGGAUUGCACGCCGGCGCCGUAGAAAAUCAAGAGGUGUGCAGAUACAGGUCAGGAAGGUGAGGGCUACUCCCCAUUGGGGCAGGGGGGCAGAGGGAGCUGUGCCCUCCACCUCCACCCCCUUCCAGGGGAGAAAGUGGGGCAGGGUGGGUGGGUUGGUGUGGGAGAGCGAGGCUGCCAGACCAGCCCACCGGGGGGAAGCUGGGUCUCCCCAAAGAGAGCAGAGCAGGGACCCCAGUGGGGGCUCAGCCCCUUCCCCAGGACCCUCACGGCCUCCCCUUUUCUCUUCCAGAAGCCCCAAGAAGAAGAAGAAGCAAGCGACCUGACCCGGAGAUUUCAAGAUGACUUCUUUUCCUUUUCUGGGCCCCCCGUUUUCCCCCCUUCUUUUCCAUAUUAAUGUUGAUAUGUUUAAAAAUCAAAUUAGAUUUUUUAUCUCUAUUUAAGCCCAAUAGCCUGGUGCCUUUUUUUCCAAGGGAGGUGGGUGGGUGAGGAAGUCGGGUGGCGGGCGAGAGGGAGCCCACAGUCCCCCAGCGGGGGCCCUGGGCAGGCGGGCAUGGGGCAGGCAUGGGGUGUCUGGCUCUUGUCCCCUUCGCUUCCCCACCCCACCCAUGAGGAUGGGGAGAAAAGAGUUCCCCUCCCAAGUGAGUUCGAGAGUGAAGGGAGAGGUGAUGGUCACCACCUGUCUCUUCUAGGGGAACAUUCUGGGCCUGUCUUACAAGUGAGCAAGCGUGUGUUUCUGUGUGUGUGAUGGAGGUUCCAGAAAGACCAGGCUGCCCCCCCCCAGACCUGAAAACGGUCUUGGUCCGAGAGGCAGCGAAAGGACUGGCCCUUCUCUUGACCUUUGUACACCAAGGGAUGAAUCAGGUCCCUCCUCCUUUGCUCCUGGACAGCAUCGUCUUAAAGGUGCUUGGCGAAGACAGGAGCCCCCCCUCCUUCUCUCCUGCCCUUCCGAAUCCUCUCCCCAUAUUUCCUGUCCCCUUUCCUCCUGCCCUUCCGAAUCAUCUCCCCGUGUCUCCUGCCCCCUUUACUCCUGCCCCUAACAAGUCCUCCUCGGGUGUCUUCCACCCUAAUCCGUCCUGGCCCCAACCCUCCUGCCUCCCUGCCCCGGAAGCGGAAGCAUGAGGAAGACAAGACCCCUCCUUCCAUCGCCCCCCAGAAGAUCCAGCCCAGGUGAGGGCAGUCGGUCGGUCUCAAGGGAGGACUGUGGCCGAGGUGGAGGGGUAGCAGACCAGGGACACCCCCCCCAGCAUCUUUUUCUGGCACUUGGUCAGCCGCUCUCUAUGGAGGGAGAGGGUGGCCGUGUCCUGCCAAGGUCAGCCCCCCGUG